Long non-coding RNA from Phyllostomus discolor (pale spear-nosed bat), 4158 nucleotides. RefSeq lists it as uncharacterized. The record is from RefSeq and is a predicted model, not a curated record. The transcript is spliced from 2 exons. NCBI's taxonomy places the organism in Eukaryota, Metazoa, Chordata, Mammalia, Chiroptera, Phyllostomidae.
UCCUUCAUUUCAAUUUGUGCUAACUUUGGGGGGGGGGGGGGAAAAGCAAAGAACCAUUUGAAAAUCCAUUGAAAGCUUCAGCUCCUCUCAAAAAGGUGUUAAGUCUCCAUGAUUUUGUAAACUGUACCUAAUAUAUAGAACUAUUUCAAAUGUAGUGAAUAUUUAUGUGAAUUAUAACUGUCUGUACUGAGUUGAAAUUCCCCAGAAUCAGAACCCAAGACAGGACUUGAGUGCAAGAAACUGACUUGAGAGGUGGACAAGUGAGAUAGACCAGGGAAACAAGUCAAUACAGGCUGCAUUAAUGAGUAAGUUACUGCUGUGAGCAAUGGGUGUCAUGCCCUCUGAGGACUCCUGGGAGCACACAGAAGGCAGGCCUCAGAGAUGUCACAACUAAUGGCUGAAGAAGUUGGAGUACCUGUCCAGCUCCCUCUAGUUAAUGGUUAAGGGCUACUCCUGGGGAUAAUAACUUGGCACUUCUGACCUGAACUUUCAACUGUGGCAGGGAAGGCCUUCAGGCUCAAAGUCCCAGAGGCUUGCAAUUAGGAAGCUAUUGGGUCAGAAGACAAUAAAUUUGUGGUGAGUGCCAUGGGAUGUGGGCAGGACACACACAAAAUAUGCUGUCACCACUAAGUACCAAUAAGAAAAAUGAAAUGCCCUUCCUCCUUAAAGUAAAACUACAAAUACUUACUGAGCACCCAUUCUGUGCCAGGAGCUCUGUUGGGCACUAAUGAUUUAGAAAAGGAAUGAAGUCAGUUUCAUGACUUUAGUCCACAAUUUGGAGAAGACAGUAGUACAUAGACAGGUUAUCAAAAAUCCUCUAAUAGAAGGAUGUAAAAGUGGGGCCCGGGGUUCUGGCAUUUCAAGUGGAAAGAUUACCCUCUUCAAAGCAGCUAUAAUAAAUAGUACAUAACAUUUCUUCCAGGAGUAAAGAAAAACAGAGACCUCACCCUGAUGACAGCAACAAAAACACCAAACAAUCUGCCAAUUCACAAUUUUUUCAACUCAUUGGAGUUGGAAACUCAUUGUAACCAACCUGCAUGAAACAAAGGAAAGAGAGGCACUUGCAAGGAUGAAAAUGCUUACCUGGGGCAGAUGCUGCUAAAUGCUGUUUAAAAGAGCUAGAAUUUUUACCAUAUUGGUAAAAGUAAAUGUAGGCAAGCAAGAGAACAUAGUACCCUUAAGGCCUGGGACAGGAGGUGAAAUUUACACUCAGGUUUUUCUCUGUGGACCUUCCCAGCUGCUAGCAUAAAUGACUGGCCAGAGUCCUGAGGCAGUCUCCACUAGGUGCAUAGGGGAAGAACAGCCACUGUAAGAGAGGAACAAAAUUCCUCCACGAUCCUUUUCUCACUUCUACUAUGGAACAAAAGCCUUAAACUGCUGAGGGGAGGACACAAACGAAGCACCCUGUCUUCCUUAGAACACUAGUGAAAGUCCAUGUAUGUCACACCAUUUUAUGAACAGUCUUAGACUUAAAAACAGCAUUCCUGUUAGAACCAACUUCAAGACACCGGUGGUCUCAAUCUUCAGCCAGGCCACUGGCCUAAGCCUCUCUUCACCAAACACUAUGGAGCCACUCAGUGUAGAUGAAUCUUUCAGAGUCUUGGAGAUGAAGGACAGAAAAAUCAUAGCCAACAAGGGGGCUUUAGUGGGAAAAAAAAAGUUUUAAGAUGAAGACUUGAGCAUGGUUAUGGAUAUAGCAAGAAAGUCAAGUAGGAUUGAUAAUACUCAAUGAGUUAAGACAAGUUAUAAAUCACUUAGCACGAACUUCCUCCUGUAUGUUACAUCGGUGUAGCUGCUUAGACAUGCAAGUUUAAUUUUUGUUUAAAAUAGGGAGGAGAUUCCACCUGAAUAAAUUCCUGGAUUAAAUUUAGUAUCAGAUUUAAUUUUUACAGUCAAGAACAAUUAAAUUGCUCAUAUUUUCUGGAUCAUGAGUGCUAUUCACACUGAAAUGUGUAACAUUUCGCUCAUUGUCAAAAACAAAAAAACCUUUAAGUGCUGACAUGAAGAACUGUGCUUCAUUUCAAAUUGUGCAUGCACAUCACUGCAGUACCAGAAGCUCCUCAUACAUAUGAGAGAACAUACUAGAAGAUUCAUCUCCUCUUAGUUGAUUUGACAGAAGCAGAAGCAUCUAACCUAAAUAUCAUGAAUUUUUAAAAAUAUUCCUUCAGUCUUAUUUAGAGUUAUGGAAUCGGGAUAAUUUCCUUCUUCUAUUAACUGCCAUUUAGUGAAGUAAGCAUUAUUUCAAAGAAGAGAAGCACUAGUCAUCAAAAAGUAAUUCCAUUUCACAUACCACAUUAAACUUAACAAAAGCAUUUAAACACUUUUGAUUACUGAAAAAUUAAACAUGUAUAAAUUAUUCAGUAUCAUUUUAUACAUAGCCAAAACUUAAAUAUAUCUUAUCAAAUGAUUUCUGAAAGAUAUAGUGUGAAAAUAUAUUCUUCCUCAGUUCUUUCCCUACUCCAAAAAGCUUUAAGAAGCUUAACACAAAACUAAAAAUUAAAAUGAAUCCAAAAAAGGUGAACAAAAGCUAUCCUUAGACUGACUCUACCAGUUCUAAUGUCUAUACAACCAGAUUGAAUUUGACCUGCACAUUAGAUACAGCCUGUUACUUUCCCUGUGAGGAGGGUUAGGCACCUGAUUUCUUAAGAGCAGUGAAAAAUGUGACUAUAAGCUAUAGCAUAGAUUUCUGUUACAUGUUAGAUGAUAAAAUCAUGAAAUGUUAAGAUAUAUGCACUUAAAGCAAGUCAAAUUAUAUACCUCAGCUAUGGUUAUAUACCUUUGGCUAUGAAGCUAGCUUAGGAAAAAUUAAAAUCAGAUUUAAUUUGUAUUCUAUAAGCUGGCAUUAAAAAAAAAACCAAGGGAAAGAAAAAAGCUCUGCUUUGAUUUUCCAGUAGUUAGUAAAUAAGGUGGUACUCUAAGUACUAUAUCAAAUAUAUAUUUCACAUGUGGGUUAACUUAUUCUAUAUACCCAAGUUUCUGUGUGUUCCAAGAAGUUUCUCAUUUUCAUUUCUGAAAUGAAAGUAUGAAUCAAAGAUGUUCAGCCUAAUUUUUUUGGUUCUUUACUCCCAAAAUAAUGGAAAAAUUUUAAUGUAAGUUUCUCGAGGACAAGUCUUGCUGCCUGUAUAGGUUUUGGCAUACAGAAUGAAUGGAGGAUAGUAUAAAGCUCUGACAGACUUAAAGUUACUACACAGAUAAAGACAUUAAAGCCUUUCUGAAAUCAUUAAUAAUAUUUCUGAAGUCUCUGAGGCAUAGUUGUUACUGUAAUAUCACUUCUAAGACCUUAUGUACUCAGUAUAAAAUGUAAAUAAAGGGACUAGGCCACAUUCAUUUCCAUUAUUCUCUCCACAUCUAAUAUUGGGCCUCAGAAAUAAAUGGUUAUUGAGUAGAAUUCACUGAAUUCCAUUGAAAAUUUCAAAACAUAAUGCCAAUACAAAGUUUCGUUUUUUUAAAAAACAACUUGAUUAGAUUUUAAACAAAGGCAAAAAUAAUAUUAUACCUUUUCUUAUACAUCAAAUGCUUUCCAUAUUUCAUUAAUGAAAUAUUUACUAACUACUAUUUCAAUAUAUAGAACUGAACCACAAAGUCAACUUACAGUAUAUUUUAAUACCCUUUAAGAGUCACUGCCUCUUUUUAUUCCUCAUGUUACUCUUACUUACAAUUCCCUUGUUUGGGAAAUAAAAGUAAUAUCUCACCUAUUUUACAGAGUUACUGGAAAGACUAAGUGAAUAUCAAUAUAAUGUGAUAGAAACUGGACAGCUAUGUUAUUUAGUGUUGUUACUCUCAAAGCAUCUACCAUUUUAUUAUUUAUAACUGGUCCCUGCUAUUCCCUGCACUGGUUCCAAUAUAAUUUUCUGCAACAGAUAUGUUCUGUAUCUGCCUUUUACAAGAGCCACUCGCCAUACAUGGUUAUUCAGCACUUAAUAUGUGGCUAGUGUAGAUAACUUAAAAUUUUAAAUAGCUUAUGUGGUCACUGACUACCAUAUUGACCAUCACAACUUUGGGUAUUUAAAAACAUAUAAUUUUUCCAUUGUUAAAAUUUCAUUUUCCCAACCAGUUUCCACUCUUUUCAAUGUGGGGCAGUGCUAUACGAAAAUAAAAGACAACAACUUAGAGAAGCAAAACUCCACUUAAAAUAGCUCAUUUGGCAAAUAGGGUCUU